RNAcentral lists this ribosomal RNA (253 nucleotides) under uncultured bacterium. RNAcentral describes it as "partial 16S ribosomal RNA". It matches the Rfam family "Bacterial small subunit ribosomal RNA", at positions 524 to 776 of the family's 1533-position model. The record is from RNAcentral.
UACAGGGGGGGCAAGCGUUGUUCGGAAUUACUGGGCGUAAAGGGCCAGUAGGCGGCCAACUAAGUCCGACGUGAAAUCCCUAGGCUUAACCUAGGAACUGCGUCGGAUACUGGAUGGCUUGAGUUCGGGAGAGGGAUGCAGAAUUCCAGGUGUAGCGGUGAAAUGCGCAGAUAUCAGGAGGAACACCGGUGGCGAAGGCGGAUCUCUGGGCCUUGCCUGACGCUGAGGCGCGAAAGCUAGGGGAGCGAACAGG